RNAcentral lists this ribosomal RNA (445 nucleotides) under uncultured bacterium. RNAcentral describes it as "partial 16S ribosomal RNA". It matches the Rfam family "Bacterial small subunit ribosomal RNA", at positions 354 to 796 of the family's 1533-position model. The record is from RNAcentral.
GUGAGGAAUAUUGGUCAAUGGGCGAGAGCCUGAACCAGCCAAGUCGCGUGAAGGAUGAAGGUUCUAUGGAUUGUAAACUUCUUUUGUAAGGGAAUAAAAAGUGGUACGUGUACCAUAUUGUAUGUACUUUACGAAUAAGGAUCGGCUAACUCCGUGCCAGCAGCCGCGGUAAUACGGAGGAUCCAAGCGUUAUCCGGAUUUAUUGGGUUUAAAGGGUGCGUAGGCGGAUCUUUAAGUCAGUGGUGAAAGUUUGCGGCUCAACCGUAAAAUUGCCAUUGAAACUGAAGAUCUUGAGUGCAAAUGAGGUAGGCGGAAUGUGUUGUGUAGCGGUGAAAUGCUUAGAUAUAACACAGAACCCCGAUUGCGAAGGCAGCUUACUGGGAUGCAACUGACGCUGAGGCACGAAAGCGUGGGGAUCGAACAGGAUUAGAUACCCGAGUAGUCC